UACGGAGGAUGCGAGCGUUAUCCGGAUUUAUUGGGUUUAAAGGGUGCGUAGGCGGGAUGCCAAGUCAGCGGUCAAAUACGGGGGCUCAACCUGCGUCCGCCGUUGAAACUGGCGUUCUUGAGUGGGCGAGAAGUACGCGGAAUGCGUGGUGUAGCGGUGAAAUGCAUAGAUAUCACACAGAACACCGAUUGCGAAGGCAUCUCACGAAUCCGCUAUUGACGCUGAUGCACGAAAGCGUGGGUAUCAAACAGG
This 252-nucleotide ribosomal RNA is filed under the name uncultured Bacteroidales bacterium. RNAcentral describes it as "partial 16S ribosomal RNA". It matches the Rfam family "Bacterial small subunit ribosomal RNA", at positions 524 to 776 of the family's 1533-position model. Lineage: Bacteria; Pseudomonadati; Bacteroidota; Bacteroidia; Bacteroidales. The record is from RNAcentral.